RNAcentral lists this small RNA (733 nucleotides) under Pan troglodytes (chimpanzee). RNAcentral's name for it is "processed transcript". Lineage: Eukaryota; Metazoa; Chordata; Mammalia; Primates; Hominidae. The record is from RNAcentral.
AGGGAAGAGGAGGCCAGAGAAGGGCGAAACCUGCAACGUGGCGGGGUCUAAGGAAGGUCGGAGCUCGGGGGAAUACGCAGGUUUUGGAAGAAGGCGGGAGCUGACGAAGAGGCGGGGCACCGGGAAAAGAGGCGCUCCCCAGAGAGGGCGGGGUUUGGGCAGGGACAAUCCUAUCCGGAGGGGACACAGACCCCUGGCAUGUGCUAAGUGUAACACAGGCUUUAGGAUCCUCAGAAUCAACUCUUCUUAUCCGCACUGGCUCCCACUGCUUGGACAUGGCACCUGAGAGGCCCUCAGACUCCCCCAGCCUCCGCCUAGGGCGCCAGAACAUCUUCCAGCAGCUACAGACCUGGCUCAAGCUGGCAAAGGAGAGCCAGAUUAAGGGUGAAGUCUGAAUCUCAUACCCUUUCCACUCCCUGCAUGGUCACCUCAGUCCUGGACAUACUUGUUCACUGAACAAAAGAAAGCAGCUUGUUUUGAAAGAAGAAACUCCCAGGAAUUGGAAUUCAGCACCUGUUCCGCACGUAAUUGGCAUGUGUCUGCAAACAUCCUUAUUCCCAACUUAAAGUGCUUUAUUGCAGAGAGUUAUGGAAAUAUAAGUGGAUGAUUAUUCUCAUUGUAAAUAUUGGUAUUUUGAAUGUUAAAUUUCAAACAAAUGUGACUUAUGCUGGUGCCCUCGCCCUGCUGAUCAGAUUCUGGUUCAAAUUCUGCCACUCCAGCUCCUGGGUUAGGG